Molecule: ribosomal RNA, 675 nt
Filed under: halophilic archaeon
Lineage: Archaea; Methanobacteriati; Methanobacteriota; Halobacteria; Halobacteriales
Description: bacterial SSU rRNA
Rfam family: Archaeal small subunit ribosomal RNA
Source: RNAcentral
ACCCUGUCGAUCGGGACACCCUCGGGAAACUGAGGCUAAUCCCGGAUACGGCUCGCUGCCUGGAGGUGGCGCGAGCCCGAAACGUUCAGGCGCGACAGGAUGUGGCUGCGGCCGAUUAGGUAGACGGUGGGGUAACGGCCCACCGUGCCGAUAAUCGGUACGGGUUGUGAAAGCAAGAGCCCGGAGACGGAAUCUGAGACAAGAUUCCGGGCCCUACGGGGCGCAGCAGGCGCGAAACCUUUACACUGCACGCGAGUGCGAUAGGGGGACUCCAAGUGCGAGGGCAUACAGUCCUCGCUUUUCACCACCGUAAGGAGGUGGUAGAAUAAGUGCUGGGCAAGACCGGUGCCAGCCGCCGCGGUAAUACCGGCAGCACGAGUGAUGACCGCUAUUAUUGGGCCUAAAGCGUCCGUAGCCGGCCGGGCAAGUCCAUCGGGAAAUCCGCACGCCUAACGUGCGGGCGUCCGGUGGAAACUGUUCGGCUUGGGACCGGAAGAUCCAGAGGGUACGUCUGGGGUAGGAGUGAAAUCCUGUAAUCCUGGACGGACCACCGGUGGCGAAAGCGCUCUGGAAGGACGGAUCCGACGGUGAGGGACGAAAGCUUGGGUCACGAACCGGAUUAGAUACCCGGGUAGUCCAAGCUGUAAACGAUGUCUGCUAGGUGUGGCACAGGCU